Chlorocebus sabaeus (green monkey) is the source of this 73-nucleotide microRNA precursor. NCBI's taxonomy places the organism in Eukaryota, Metazoa, Chordata, Mammalia, Primates, Cercopithecidae. The record is from Ensembl.
UUAGGUUGGUGCAAAAGUAAUUGGGGUUUUUGCCAUUACCUUUAACGUCAAUUACGUUUGCACUGAUCUAAUA